AGUGAACGCUGGCGGUAGGCCUAACACAUGCAAGUCGAACGGCAGCACAGUAAGAGCUUGCUCUUACGGGUGGCGAGUGGCUGACGGGUGAGGAAUACAUCGGAAUCUACUUUUUCGUGGGGGAUAACGUAGGGAAACUUACGCUAAUACCGCAUACGACCUACGGGUGAAAGCAGGGGAUCUUCGGACCUUGCGCGAUUGAAUGAGCCGAUGUCGGAUUAGCUAGUUGGCGGGGUAAAGGCCCACCAAGGCGACGAUCCGUAGCUGGUCUGAGAGGAUGAUCAGCCACACUGGAACUGAGACACGGUCCAGACUCCUACGGGAGGCAGCAGUGGGGAAUAUUGGACAAUGGGCGCAAGCCUGAUCCAGCCAUACCGCGUGGGUGAAGAAGGCCUUCGGGUUGUAAAGCCCUUUUGUUGGGAAAGAAAAGCAGCAGGUUAAUACCCCGCUGUUCUGACGGUACCCAAAGAAUAAGCACCGGCUAACUUCGCG
This 492-nucleotide ribosomal RNA is filed under the name uncultured bacterium. Its description in RNAcentral is "partial 16S ribosomal RNA". It matches the Rfam family "Bacterial small subunit ribosomal RNA", at positions 29 to 507 of the family's 1533-position model. The record is from RNAcentral.